Molecule: long non-coding RNA, 1216 nt
Organism: Eriocheir sinensis (Chinese mitten crab)
Lineage: Eukaryota; Metazoa; Arthropoda; Malacostraca; Decapoda; Varunidae
Exons: 3
Source: RefSeq, a predicted model, not a curated record
GAUAAUCUGGGCAUCUACCAAUGCACUACUAAACAAUUUCUGUGCUAGAGAAAAUAACAGUAUUGUAGCUAAUAAGGAUGUGCAAAAGAAUCGAAAACUAAAGACAUUAAUGAAGUAGUAUGUAGAGGGAAAUGAACAUGGAAUAAGAUGGAAAAACUCAGUGUAGUAAAUAUUACAGCUAAGCUUCAUUCUAAAUGCUCAUGCCAAGGGUAAUAUAUUAUGUUUGUUCUCAUAAAGUACAGUAGUGCAAAUUAACAUGGAAUAGGAUGGAAAUACUCAGUGUUGUAAAUAUUACAGCUAAGCUUCAUUCUAAAUGCUUAUGCCAAAGGUAAUAUAUUAUGUUUGUUCUCAUAAAGUACAGUAGUGCAAAUUAACAUGGAAUAGGAUGGAAAUACUCAGUGUUGUAAAUAUUACAGCUAAGCUUCAUUCUAAAUGCUCAUGCCAAAGGUAAUAUAUUAUGUUUGUUCUCAUAAAGUACAGUAGUGCAAAUUAACAUGGAAUAGGAUGGAAAUACUCAGUGUUGUAAAUAUUACAGCUAAGCUUCAUUCUAAAUGCUCAUGCCAAGGGUAAUAUAUUAUGUUUGUUCUCAUAAAGUACAGUAGUGCAAAUUAACAUGGAAUAGGAUGGAAAUACUCAGUGUUGUAAAUAUUACAGCUAAGCUUCAUUCUAAAUGCUUAUGCCAAGGGUAAUAUAUUAUGUUUGUUCUCAUAAAGUACAGUAGUGCAAAUUAACAUGGAAUAGGAUGGAAAUACUCAGUGUUGUAAAUAUUACAGCUAAGCUUCAUUCUAAAUGCUCAUGCCAAAGGUAAUAUAUUAUGUUUGUUCUCAUAAAGUACAGUAGUGCAAAUUAACAUGGAAUAGGAUGGAAAUACUCAGUGUUGUAAAUAUUACAGCUAAGCUUCAUUCUAAAUGCUCAUGCCAAGGGUAAUAUAUUAUGUUUGUUCUCAUAAAGUAGUGCAAAUUAACAUGGGAUAGGAUGGAAAUACUCAGUGUUGUAAAUUUUACAGCUAAGCUUCAUUCUAAAUGCUCAUGCCAAAGGCAAUAUAUUUUGUUUGUUCUCAUGAAAUAGGAUUUUAUACCUUGGAAACAGUAUCUGUUAGAAUUAGAUAUCCUCAUGACCAAAAUUAUACUCACUAUUAAAGGUGAUAUAGGUAAUGACACUCUCUCUCUCUCUCUCUCUCUCUCUCUCUCUCUCUCUCUCUCUCUCUCUCUCUCUC